RNAcentral lists this transfer RNA (78 nucleotides) under Ketogulonicigenium vulgare WSH-001. Its description in RNAcentral is "tRNA-Met". It matches the Rfam family "tRNA". From Rfam's summary of the family: Transfer RNA (tRNA) molecules are approximately 80 nucleotides in length. Their secondary structure includes four short double-helical elements and three loops (D, anti-codon, and T loops). Lineage: Bacteria; Pseudomonadati; Pseudomonadota; Alphaproteobacteria; Rhodobacterales; Roseobacteraceae. The record is from RNAcentral.
ACGCGGGGUGGAGCAGCCCGGUAGCUCGUCAGGCUCAUAACCUGAAGGCCGCAGGUUCAAAUCCUGCCCCCGCAACCA